GAUGAACGCUGGCGGCAUGCCUAAUACAUGCAAGUCGAACGAAGUUUCAAGGAAGCUUGCUUCCAAAGAGACUUAGUGGCGAACGGGUGAGUAACACGUAGGUAACCUGCCCAUGUGUCCGGGAUAACUGCUGGAAACGGUAGCUAAAACCGGAUAGGUAUACAGAGCGCAUGCUCAGUAUAUUAAAGCGCCCAUCAAGGCGUGAACAUGGAUGGACCUGCGGCGCAUUAGCUAGUUGGUGAGGUAACGGCCCACCAAGGCGAUGAUGCGUAGCCGGCCUGAGAGGGUAAACGGCCACAUUGGGACUGAGACACGGGCCCAGACUCCUACGGGAGGCAGCAGUAGGGAAUCAUUCACAAUGGGGGAAACCCUGAUGGUGCGACGCCGCGGUGGGGAA
This 397-nucleotide ribosomal RNA is filed under the name uncultured bacterium. RNAcentral's name for it is "bacterial SSU rRNA". It matches the Rfam family "Bacterial small subunit ribosomal RNA", at positions 28 to 409 of the family's 1533-position model. The record is from RNAcentral.